Molecule: ribosomal RNA, 460 nt
Filed under: uncultured bacterium
Lineage: Bacteria
Description: partial 16S ribosomal RNA
Rfam family: Bacterial small subunit ribosomal RNA
Source: RNAcentral
CCUACGGGAGGCAGCAGUGAGGAAUAUUGGUCAAUGGACGAGAGUCUGAACCAGCCAAGUAGCGUGAAGGAUGACUGCCCUAUGGGUUGUAAACUUCUUUUAUAUGGGAAUAAAAUGUUCCACGUGUGGGUUUUUGUAUGUACCAUAUGAAUAAGGAUCGGCUAACUCCGUGCCAGCAGCCGCGGUAAUACGGAGGAUCCGAGCGUUAUCCGGAUUUAUUGGGUUUAAAGGGAGCGUAGGUGGUUUGUUAAGUCAAUUGUGAAAGUUUGCGGCUCAACCGUAAAAUUGCAGUUGAAACUGGCAGUCUUGAGUACAGUAGAGGUGGGCGGAAUUCGUGGUGUAGCGGUGAAAUGCUUAGAUAUCACGAAGAACUCCGAUUGCGAAGGCAGCUCACUGGACUGCAACUGACACUGAGGCUCGAAAGUGUGGGUAUCAAACAGGAUUAGAUACCCUAGUAGUC